UACGUAGGGGGCAAGCGUUGUCCGGAUUUAUUGGGCGUAAAGAGCGUGUAGGCGGCUUGGUAGGUCUGCUGUGAAAACUCGGGGCUCAACCCCGAGACGUCGGUGGAAACCACCUGGCUAGAGUCCGGAAGAGGAGAGUGGAAUUCCUGGUGUAGCGGUGAAAUGCGCAGAUAUCAGGAAGAACACCCGUGGCGAAGGCGGCUCUCUGGGACGGUACUGACGCUGAGACGCGAAAGCGUGGGGAGCGAACAGG
This 253-nucleotide ribosomal RNA is filed under the name uncultured bacterium. RNAcentral describes it as "partial 16S ribosomal RNA". It matches the Rfam family "Bacterial small subunit ribosomal RNA", at positions 524 to 776 of the family's 1533-position model. The record is from RNAcentral.